CAGUCGCCGCGGUAAUACGGAGGGUGCAAGCGUUAAUCGGAAUUACUGGGCGUAAAGCGCACGCAGGCGGUCUGACAAGUCAGAUGUGAAAUCCCCGGGCUUAACCUGGGAACUGCAUUUGAAACUGUCAGGCUGGAGUCUUGUAGAGGGGGGUAGAAUUCCAGGUGUAGCGGUGAAAUGCGUAGAGAUCUGGAGGAAUACCGGUGGCGAAGGCGGCCCCCUGGACAAAGACUGACGCUCAGGUGCGAAAGCGUGGGGAGCAAACAGGAUUAGAUACCCCCGUAGUCCUGUCUCUUAUACA
Molecule: ribosomal RNA, 301 nt
Filed under: uncultured bacterium
Lineage: Bacteria
Description: partial 16S ribosomal RNA
Rfam family: Bacterial small subunit ribosomal RNA
Source: RNAcentral